This 54-nucleotide transfer RNA is filed under the name Cautires sp. UPOL A00109. RNAcentral's name for it is "partial tRNA-Ser". The record is from RNAcentral. RNAcentral also lists the same sequence under 1 other name. Lineage: Eukaryota; Metazoa; Arthropoda; Insecta; Coleoptera; Lycidae.
AAAGAAAUAUCCAAUAAAAGCUUCUAACUUUUUAUAAAGCAUUAAUAUGUUUAU